UACGGGAGGCAGCAGGGGGGAAUAUUGCACAAUGGGCGCAAGCCUGAUGCAGCCAUGCCGCGUGUAUGAAGAAGGCCUUCGGGUUGUAAAGUACUUUCAGUCGUGAGGAAGGUGUUAAGGUUAAUAACCUUAGCAAUUGACGUUAGCGACAGAAGAAGCACCGGCUAACUCCGUGCCAGCAGCCGCGGUAAUACGGAGGGUGCGAGCGUUAAUCGGAAUUACUGGGCGUAAAGGGCACGCAGGCGGUUAAUUAAGUUGGAUGUGAAAUCCCCGGGCUUAACCUGGGAAUGGCAUUCAAGACUGGUUAGCUAGAGUCUUGUAGAGGGGGUAGAAUUCCAUGUGUAGCGGUGAAAUGCGUAGAGAUGUGGAGGAAUACCGGUGGCGAAGGCGGCCCCUGGACAAAGACUGACGCUCAUGUGCGAAAGCGUGGGGAGCAAACAGGGAUUAGAUAC
This 452-nucleotide ribosomal RNA is filed under the name uncultured bacterium. Its description in RNAcentral is "bacterial SSU rRNA". It matches the Rfam family "Bacterial small subunit ribosomal RNA", at positions 340 to 785 of the family's 1533-position model. The record is from RNAcentral.